This 301-nucleotide ribosomal RNA is filed under the name uncultured bacterium. RNAcentral describes it as "partial 16S ribosomal RNA". It matches the Rfam family "Bacterial small subunit ribosomal RNA", at positions 509 to 807 of the family's 1533-position model. The record is from RNAcentral.
CAGCCGCCGCGGGAAUACGAAGGGGGCUAGCGUUGUUCGGAUUUACUGGGCGUAAAGGGCGCGUAGGCGGGCUGAUAAGUCAGGGGUGAAAUCCCAAGGCUCAACCUUGGAACUGCCUUUGAUACUGUUUGUCUUGAGUUCGAGAGAGGUAAGUGGAACUGCGAGUGUAGAGGUGAAAUUCGUAGAUAUUCGCAAGAACACCAGUGGCGAAGGCGGCUUACUGGCUCGAAACUGACGCUGAGGCACGAAAGCUAGGGGAGCAAACAGGAUUAGAUACCCCUGUAGUCCCUGUCUCUUAUAC